This 155-nucleotide small nuclear RNA is filed under the name Pogona vitticeps (central bearded dragon). RNAcentral describes it as "U1 spliceosomal RNA (ENSPVIG00000019103.1)". It matches the Rfam family "U1 spliceosomal RNA". From Rfam's summary of the family: U1 is a small nuclear RNA (snRNA) component of the spliceosome (involved in pre-mRNA splicing). The record is from Rfam by way of RNAcentral. Lineage: Eukaryota; Metazoa; Chordata; Lepidosauria; Squamata; Agamidae.
ACUCAUACCUUGCAGGAGAAAUACCAUGUCAUAAAAGUGGUUUUCCCAGGGGGAGGCUCAUCCAUUGCACUUUGGGGGUGCUGCUGAUCCCUAUGAUUUCCCUAAACGUGGGCAACUCAAUUGCAUAAUUUGUGUUAAUGGGGGGAAUGCCCUUA